UUUGCGUCGAAGGUAUACCGGUAAGGAGUGCUGGAGCGAAUAGAAGUGAGCAUGCAGGCAUGAGUAGCGAUAAUUAAUGUGAGAAUCAUUAACGCCGUAAACCCAAGGUUUCCUACGCGAUGCUCGUCAUCGUAGGGUUAGUCGGGUCCUAAGUCGAGUCCGAAAGGGGUAGACGAUGGCAAAUUGGUUAAUAUUCCAAUACCAACAUUAGUGUGCGAUGGAAGGACGCUUAGGGCUAAGGGGGCUAGCGGAUGGAAGUGCUAGUCUAAGGUCGUAGGAGGUUAUACAGGCAAAUCCGUAUAACAAUACUCCGAGAACUGAAAGGCUUUUUGAAGUCUUCGGAUGGAUAGAAGAACCCCUGAUGCCGUCGAGCCAAGAAAAGUUUCUAAGUUUAGCUAAUGUUGCCCGUACCGUAAACCGACACAGGUGGGUGGGAUGAGUAUUCUAAGGCGCGUGGAAGAACUCUCUUUAAGGAACUCUGCAAAAUAGCACCGUAUCUUCGGUAUAAGGUGUGGUUAGCUUUGUAUUAGGAUUUACUCCGAAAGCGAAGAAACUUACAACAAAGAGUCCCUCCCGACUGUUUACCAAAAACACAGCACUCUGCUAACUCGUAAGAGGAUGUAUAGGGUGUGACGCCUGCCCGGUGCUCGAAGGUUAAUUGAUGGGGUUAGCAUUAGCGAAGCUCUUGAUCGAAGCCCGAGUAAACGGCGGCCGUAACUAUAACGGUCCUAAGGUAGCGAAAUUCCUUGUCGGUUAAAUACCGACCUGCAUGAAUGGCGUAACGAGAUGGGAGCUGUCUCAAAGAGGGAUCCAGUGAAAUUGUAGUGGAGGUGAAAAUUCCUCCUACCCGCGGCAAGACGGAAAGACCCCGUGGACCUUUACUACAGCUUGACACUGCUACUUGGAUAAGAAUGUGCAGGAUAGGUGGGAGGCUUUGAGUAUAUGACGCCAGUUGUAUAUGAGCCAUUGUUGAGAUACCACUCUUUCUUAUUUGGGUAGCUAACCAGCUUGAGUUAUCCUCAAGUGGGACAAUGUCUGGUGGGUAGUUUGACUGGGGCGGUCGCCUCCCAAAUAAUAACGGAGGCUUACAAAGGUUGGCUCAGAACGGUUGGAAAUCGUUCGUAGAGUAUAAAGGUAUAAGCCAGCUUAACUGCAAGACAUACAAGUCAAGCAGAGACGAAAGUCGGUCUUAGUGAUCCGGUGGUUCUGUGUGGAAGGGCCAUCGCUCAAAGGAUAAAAGGUACCCCGGGGAUAACAGGCUGAUCUCCCCCAAGAGCUCACAUCGACGGGGAGGUUUGGCACCUCGAUGUCGGCUCAUCGCAUCCUGGGGCUGGAGCAGGUCCCAAGGGUAUGGCUGUUCGCCAUUUAAAGCGGUACGCGAGCUGGGUUCAGAACGUCGUGAGACAGUUCGGUCCCUAUCUGCCGUGGGCGUAAGAAGAUUGAAGAGAUUUGACCCUAGUACGAGAGGACCGGGUUGAACAAACCACUGGUGUAGCUGUUGUUCUGCCAAGAGCAUCGCAGCGUAGCUAAGUUUGGAAAGGAUAAACGCUGAAAGCAUCUAAGCGUGAAGCCAACUCUAAGAUGAAUCUUCUCUAAGCUCUCUAGAAGACUACUAGUUUGAUAGGCUGGGUGUGUAAUGGAUGAAAGUCCUUUAGCUGACCAGUACUAAUAGAGCGUUUGGCUUAUCUUUAAUAAAGCAU
Molecule: ribosomal RNA, 1700 nt
Filed under: Campylobacter jejuni
Lineage: Bacteria; Pseudomonadati; Campylobacterota; Epsilonproteobacteria; Campylobacterales; Campylobacteraceae
Description: partial 23S ribosomal RNA
Rfam family: Bacterial large subunit ribosomal RNA
Source: RNAcentral